CCCAGACCUGAACAACUGGUAAAUAUUUCAGAUACCAAUAUCAACUUCUUAGCCAGGCAACAGGGAAAGGAGCAAAAUAGGAUUUCUCAAGCAACCAGAUGUUCCACAAAGCACUGAGAGGAGAAUCUCAAGAGAAACUCUCAAAUAUCUCUGCAGAAAUCACAGAGACUUUUGUCAUGCUAUUGCACAGGGACAAGCUAUCAGAGCAGAUGUCCCACCAGAAGGCUUCAAGCUGCACCAGGGAAGGUUCAGGCUGGACGUUAGGAAAUACUACUUCUCUGAAAGGGUGGUCAGGCACUGGAAUGGGCUGCCCAGAGGUGGUGGAGUCACUGAGCCUGGAGGUGUUCAAGGAACGUUUGGAUGUUGUGUUGAGGGACAUGGUUUAGUGAGAACUGUUGGUGAUGGGUGAAUGGUUGGACUGGAUGAUCCUGUGGGUCUUUUCCAACCUUAGCAAUUCUAUGAUUCUAAGAGGAAAAGACGGCAAUGAUUCCAGAUGAACUGCUGUACUUCUGUCUUUUCAAAUCCCAGUCAUCCAGCAGGAAGACCCACUCUGCUGUUAGAAAAAAAUGCCAGUUGAUGAUGCUACCUACUUCUGUCCAGCUUCAAGUACGUACCACAGUAGAAAAUCCAAAACAGACACAGAGGGGUAGAUCGUACUCUGUUUGGAGUAGGGGGGAAGGAAGAAAUUUGAAAUACUGCAGUUUCUAUGCAAUGUUAUUUUCUCCUCACUUUGGG
This 735-nucleotide long non-coding RNA is filed under the name Gallus gallus (chicken). Its description in RNAcentral is "lncRNA (ENSGALG00010001078.1)". Lineage: Eukaryota; Metazoa; Chordata; Aves; Galliformes; Phasianidae. The record is from RNAcentral.